GAUGAAGAACGUAGCGAAAUGCGAUAAGUAAUGUGAAUUGCAGAAUUCAGUGAAUCAUCGAAUCUUUGAACGCACAUUGCGCCCGCCAGUAUUCUGGCGGGCAUGCCUGUUCGAGCGUCAUUUCAACCCUCAGGACCCUUUGGACCUGGUGUUGGGGCUCGGCCGCUACCCCGCGGCCGUCCCCGAAAGAUAGUGGCGGUCUCGCUGUAGCGUCCUCUGCGUAGUAAUUACACCUCGUACUGGAACGCGGCGCGGCCACGCCGUUAAACACCCCACUUCUCAAGGUUGACCUCGGAUCAGGUAGGAAUACCCGCUGAACUUAAGCAUAUCAAUAAGCGAGGA
Molecule: unclassified non-coding RNA, 342 nt
Filed under: soil metagenome
Description: partial contains 5.8S ribosomal RNA, internal transcribed spacer 2, and large subunit ribosomal RNA
Rfam family: 5.8S ribosomal RNA (bases 1-120)
Source: RNAcentral